AAACCUGUUUGUGAAUUUUAUUAUGAACUUUUGAACUUGGCAACGAAUUUGCGAAGUCCGGAACGAAGUUCGGAAUCUUACGAUGAAAAGUCAGCUGAAAUUGACUGUAACAGGAAUUGGCAGACACCCCCCGAAUUAAAAGGGGCUAGUUUCGCCCCUGGGUCAGUAUAGCUCUUAUAGCAGAUACCAUUUAGUAUUAUUCAUAAUUAGCCUUAAACUGAUAGAGUUAAUUUGUUUAUUUUGUGUUCG
This is a non-coding RNA of Paramuricea clavata, 249 nucleotides long. NCBI's taxonomy places the organism in Eukaryota, Metazoa, Cnidaria, Anthozoa, Malacalcyonacea, Plexauridae. The record is from the annotation of a GenBank genome assembly.